CAAUAGCGUAUAUUAAAGCUGUUGCGGUUAAAAAGCUCGUAGUUGGAUUUCUGUCAAGGACAACUGGUCCGCCCCUCGGGUGAGCACAUAGUUUGGUCUUGGCAUCUUGUUGGAAACUGUUGCUGCACUUGGUUGUGUGGCGCAGUGUCCAGCACUUUCACUUUGAGGAAAUUGGAGUGUUUCAAGCAGGCACAUGCCUUUGGACACAGUAGCAUGGAGUAAUUAGAUUGGGCUUUUGCUCCAACUUGUCGGUUUCUGGAGCUGAGGUGAGAAUUAAUGGGGAUUGUUGGGGGCAUCCGAAUUUAGCCGUCAGAGGUGAAAUUCUUGGAUCUGCUAAAGACGGACAACUGCGAAAGCGUUUGCCCAGGAUGUUUUCAUUGA
RNAcentral lists this ribosomal RNA (381 nucleotides) under uncultured eukaryote. RNAcentral's name for it is "partial 18S ribosomal RNA". It matches the Rfam family "Eukaryotic small subunit ribosomal RNA", at positions 592 to 976 of the family's 1831-position model. The record is from RNAcentral.